Molecule: ribosomal RNA, 494 nt
Filed under: uncultured bacterium
Lineage: Bacteria
Description: partial 16S ribosomal RNA
Rfam family: Bacterial small subunit ribosomal RNA
Source: RNAcentral
GACGAACGCUGGCGGCGCGCUUAACACAUGCAAGUCGAACGGAAAGGGCUGCUUUCCCUUGUGGAUUGCGGGUACUCGAGUGGCGAACGGGUGAGUAACACGUGAGUGAUCUGCCCCCAACUUGGGUAUAAGCCUGGGAAACUGGGUCUAAUUCCCGAUAGGACUGCAGGGUGGUGCCUGUGGUGGAAAACGAUUUUCUAGUGGUUGGGGAUGAGCUCGCGGCCUAUCAGCUUGUUGGUGGGGUAAUGGCCUACCAAGGCGGCGACGGGUAGCCGGCCUGAGAGGGUGGACGGCCACAUUGGGACUGAGAUACGGCCCAGACUCCUACGGGAGGCAGCAGUGGGGAAUAUUGCACAAUGGGCGGAAGCCUGAUGCAGCGACGCCGCGUGGGGGAUGACGGCCUUCGGGUUGUAAACUCCUUUCGACCGCGAGGAAGCCACCUGGUUGGAAGGGUGGUGACGGUAGUGGUAGAAGAAGCACCGGCUAACUACGUG